Long non-coding RNA from Mustela lutreola (European mink), 6111 nucleotides. RefSeq lists it as uncharacterized. The transcript has 4 exons. NCBI's taxonomy places the organism in Eukaryota, Metazoa, Chordata, Mammalia, Carnivora, Mustelidae. The record is from RefSeq and is a predicted model, not a curated record.
CUGAUAAAUAAAUAAAAUCUUAAAAUAUAUAUAUAUAUAUAUAAAAGUCAUAAUUCCAUUUUGGUAGUUCACUUCGAGAAAGUUUUCUUUUGUAGUAAGUCUUCAUUAGUCCUCUGUUGACAGCUUCCCUUUUGUGCUGACAGAUUAGCCAGGGAUCAUCAUGGGCAUAGGGGAAGCUAGUUUGCCAAGCUCCAUCAGUAAUUCAGAAAUCAUGUAAAAACCGCCCGCCUUCAGCUUUGGGAGCCACUGGGAGGCAUUUUGGAAAAUGGAGGGGGUCGCAGAAUUGGCCUCUUUGAAUGGAACCUUAAGCUACCUGCCUUAGUCCAGGUGAUCACGCAGGGGAAAAGAACUUCCCUGGGCUGUGAACUGUAUAAAUACUUGCCCUCCAUUUUCCAGUGGAGUCUUUCGAAGGUUAGGUCGUAAAUAGUAAAUAAUCAACCAAGAUUUCUCAGAUUGGCUGCAUUUACCUUUCCCUGAAAAAAAAUUUUUCCCCAUGAAGAUGAAGCGACUUUGGAACGAGAGCAGAAUUUCCUUUUAGGCGUCUCAGCUUCCAACAUUCAGAGAACAAGAUCAGGCCUGGCCUGGCUGGCGGAGACUGCCUGGGGCAGACAGCGAGACCGGCCGAGUGGGAGAGGCGAGACAAGAUUGGAGAGAGGAGGUGGGAAGCCUGUCCCCGAUGGCAAAGCAGAGACAGAGUGUUUUACAGAUCAAGGCCAUCACCACAGGAGUGAAUCUGCCUUCACCAAUAGUGCCUUCAAGAGGCCAAGGUCCAGGAAUGAAGAGAAGGAAGAAAAUCCCAUCAGACCUCACUUCUUAUCAGAAGAGAAGGUUUAAUAUUCCUGAGCAGAGGGAAACUACAGGUUAAAGGCUAAAUUCCUUUGGCUAUAAUGUAAUAAUAAAGUUGUUUUCUGUAUAUAAGGAUCAAACAAAGCCUGCGCUUAAACCAAUCGCACAUGGAGAUACCAUCACUGUCCCUCUCGCUGUGACAUGUUUGUGCUGGCUGAAGCCCGAAGCAUUUUGAGACCGAAACACAGGGGGAUUUGGGCGGAGAGCUGAUCCCAAGCCGAGAGGGCCGGUGACCUGUUGACCAAACACACAUUCCCUCCCUGCAAGCAAAACAAUUCUGCCCCUGUCAUCCGUCAUCCCACUCGAGUGAGGGGUGCUGACAGACUUUGUGUUUAGCCUGCUUUGUUUGCAAGGAGGAAAGGGAGGGUUGCUCUGUCCUGAUAAGAAGGCAAAGGUGGCAUUCCCGUGUUUUUGUUGGAUCCCUUUGCAUGAACAACCUCACCUGUCAAAACAUGAUGAAAAAUGGAAACGGAACAAAGGAGGAAGAGGCAGGAACCAGUGAGAAGAUGGAGUGAACCAGCCAGGGCCUUAAAACACAGUCUGUGGAAUGUCUGGCAGAUCAUUUUAUAACUGCUAAAUUUACUGUUGGGGACUUAAUUGUGUUCGUGUAUGUGUGGGGGUUCAUAUAUUUAUCUUCUGUGACUAAAGGAUUAUCACGGGCAGGACAAUGAAUAUUCUAAAACACUACCGUGCAUGCAAAUCAAUAAUAAAUAAGUGAUUUCUAGACAACGAGAAUCAGACAUAUUAAGUUGCUUUGUACAGUGCCUUUCGCCACUGUAGCUAGUAAUUUCCAGCUUUUUAAGAUACAAUUUUAUAAACAAAGUGCUUUCACGGAGUUGUCUCUCUCAGUGACCCAAACGUUCGCUCACCCUCUUCUCUGAGAACCCCCCGGAGCUUCCUCCCUUGACUUCCAGACCUUGUCCAACAGUGGUGUGUCCUCCAGAAUUUCAUGACAUUCAGGUCCGUCUGUCUCUUGGGCUCAGCUCUUCAGUCCGAUCGAUCCAAAGCCUCUCCCCGCCACCGGCACUUGUGGAACCUGGAAGCUGUCCCCCGCCUCCACCCCUCACUGGGUGAUCAGCUAAUGGAAUAAGUUCUCCGAAUAGUCCCUUCACCUGUUUUCCUUAACAGAAAUCUCCUGAGGACAUUUCUUCCCCCACAGGUCCCUGAGGGGUCGGAAAAAAUUUUCUUCCUUCCUUUCUUUCUUCCUCCCAUGCCCCUUGAACCUUACAAUUGAGAAGUAGAAAAAGCAACCUCUGGUCUCCUCAUCUCCUCGCUCUGUUCUGAAACUGCUCUCUCUCUCGCCCCUUUCCUUCACCUUGCCUCAGUCAUUUCCUUGACCUGUUUUUACUCCUGCUCAUUCAGGGAAUACUUGGGCCCUGGACCUAUGCAUUUCCUCUCCACACUAUCCCUCCCCAUCACUCUGCAGCUGUGGCUUUCACAGGUGACCCAUUCUAGACCCUGGCCUCCCACUUCCUUAACGCUGCCACGCCCCCCCACUCCAGCUCAGCUAUCUACCCUCUUGGUGGACCCUGGACCUUUAUUGACAUCACCAGUAACUGCUUCCUUUCUGAAAUCGCCAAUCCCUACCUUCUUCCUAGUGAUCAGCUGACUUGCUCUGUAGCUACACUUAGUUUACAUUAUGGUUAGAAUCUACCUUUUAAGGGGCACCUGGGUGGUGUAGUUGGUUUAGCGUCUGACUCUUGGUUUCAGCUCAGGUCUGAUUUCAGGGUCUUGAGAUCCACCUCCUCGUUCGACUCCAUGCUCAGUGCCGAGUAUGUUUGAGUUUCUCCCACUUCCUCUGCCCCUCCCCACUGCACACACUCCCUCUCUUUCUCACUGAAAUAAAGCAAUCUUGGAAAAAAAAAAAAAAGGCUCUGCCUACUUGUGAUCUCUGUCAAAUAAAUAAAAUCUUUUAAAAAAAAAAGGAAGAAGAAGAAGAAUCUAUACUACCUUUUAAAAAGAAUGAUCUGUAAGCCUCCUCUCGUCUUCAUUUUCUUUGUUAUCUAGCUUAGAGUCCAUACCCAUUGAUAUUGCUUCCUUAAUAAUACUCUUGGCUCAGUGGAUUUUGUUGGUAAAAAAUAAACCAUUACCUAAAUCUCACAUUUAAUAAAAAAAAAAAAAAAAACUCAAAAUGGCUCAUAGAUUUAAAUGUAAAAUGUAAAACUACAAACCUUUCAGAAGAUGAUCUAGAAGAAAGUCUUCAGGACAUAGGUCUUGGUGAAGAGUUCUUAGAUAUGACACCAAAAAUGUGAUCCAUAAAAGAAAAAAAACUGAAAAAUGGGACUUCAUCAAAACGUAAAAGGUUUACUCUGCAAAAGACACUGUUGACGAAAAGACAAGCAAAAGACUGGGAGAAAUAUUGGCAAAUCACAUUUCUGACAAAGGAUCAGUAUCUAGAAUAUAUAAAGAACUCUCAAAUUUAACUUCAAAAGAAGUUCUAACUUGAAAACUGACAAAAAAUGUGCAGAGACUUCUCACCAGAGAGAAUUUAUGGAAGACAGAUAAGCCCUUGAAAAUAUGAUCAAUAUCAUUAGCCAUUAAGGGAAAUGAAAAUUAAGAUUAUCACUAUGUACUCAUUAGAACAGUUAAAAUAGUGAUACCAUACUGAUAUAAAUAAAUGGAUAAAUAUAUUUAUAAAUGGAAGUGAAAAGACAAAUCUUUCAUGCAGAAUUCCAAAUCAUUUAUAUUUGGUACUACACUGUCUGGGUGCAUUUCUCUCCACCUAAGCAUCAGCUACAGAGAGUGCCUUCCUCCCAAAGAGCACAGUGUGGGAAAAAAAGAAAAAAGAAUAACUUUACAAUGGAGAAAUCUAACAAACGUAAGUUCAGCCUGAUGAUCAAGGUUAACAUCAACAGUGAUAGAGUUGUGAUGAUAGUAUGUAUCCUUGAAAGGAUGUGAUGAGAAGAGCCCUUUGCCUGUGUACCCUUCCUACCGAAACUCCCUAACCCCAGUCCCAGCAUGAGAAAAAACAUCAGAAAACAUCAAGAAAUCAAGUAGAUGUUGACUAGAGACAGAGGUUUUUCUACUAUGUAUAAUUUAUUCAUGCAGAGGUGCUUUCUGAUGGAUGUGAAUUCAACCUACAACCACACUGCCCCAUGGGCUGUUUUGGACCAGGUGGCAUUUGGAGAUUCAAAGACAAAAUGGCCUACAGCAGGCCCAUAGCAGCACUUCCCAACACUGGUCAGGGACAAAACUUUUACUUGACCUUAGAACCCCUACUGUAGAAAUGUCUAUUUUCCCUCCAUAAAGCAGGGAGGGGCAUAAUGGUUCUGUCCUAAAAUGAGGAGCAAUGAGUGGGGAGCCCUCAUGGGGCUAUGGGCCUAGCCCAUAGGCUAUUAGUAAGCCCACAGCUUACUUCCUAUGGGCCCUCUAGCUUGCCUACCUGCUCAUUGUGGGCAAAGUAGAAGAAAAGGCUUGGGAAUUUAGGGGCUCUUGUUCCUUAGUAUCACAGUAUGCCUAAACUAUUUCAAAUCAAUCGCAAAUCAUUCUCAUUUUUGUUCAUUUCAAAGUGAAGGAGAAUUUUUUGAUAGGGACAGUGAUAAAAAUGAAACAGCAAAUCAAGCUGCAUUUUACAGCCCAUCCUCAUGGGUUCAAUCACAUACUAAUGUAUCACAUAUAUACAAUGUUACCAGAUUAAAAGAAAACUUGUACAAGGAAACAUAACAUACAUUGUAUCAUAAAAUAAAAUUCAGUGUUGUAAAUGGUGCCAUGUAUUUUUUUAACUGUUGCUUUAAAAUUAUCUCUGAUUAACAAAUAGUGUUUCUUGGGAAAAGCUUUCUUUUGUUCUGAAAUUAUGAACUUCCUACAUUUUUGGUGUUGAAAUAUCCUUUCCUUUCUGAAAUGUUGGAAAUGAUAGCUUUUUGUUACUGUUGUUGUUGGCAAAAUGAAUAGUUUGGCAACUCCACAUUAGUUAUCUCUCUCAAUUGCUUUGCAAGUUUUACUGUCCUAAAAAAAUUUAAGUCUGGGAACCACUAACCUAAGAAUGCUCUCAUUUUGAAAUAUAAGAGGAUUAAAUAGACAAAAAUUAAGAGGAAUUCUAUGUAAAUUAAGAACUCAGAACAUUUGGCUGAUUUUAUUAGUUUGUUUCCCAUUAUCCAUUGUGUAAAAUUUCACUUACUUCUCUCCCAAUGGUAUGUUAAUUUAUAAACACCCAUGGUAGAAAUGGAAAUAUAGUCUAGCUCUAUAGUAUCCUGUAUCACAAUUGUUUAGAAUAUGUGUUUUUCACUAGUUGAGAUAUUUGAAAGGUUUUGUUGUAGCUGUUUUCAUUUGUUGUGUGUGUUUGCUUUGAUAUUUUUGCUUCCAUCAGAUCAAUCCUAUGGGUCGCGAAGAUUGCAAAUGGACUCCAUGAUGAUUGGAGUGGUUGCUUAUGUAUGUGUCAAAGAAACUAAGUUGAUGGAAAAUAUGAAAAUGUGUCUCUGAGGUUAGUCAUUUUUUCCCUCUACACUGAUCAUAGAAGCAAUAGAGUGAUACCAUGAAAGUUGAAAAUAAUUUGCUCAUGAAUUUUGUAUCCUACUUGGGACAUUUUGAGCAUGAGUGUAGUUUUGCUCUGCCCAGCUGCUGAAAGGCUUUCUAAGGAUGUAAAAAUGAGGUACUGAUUGGAUUUUCCUUCAUUUCCAUCCAUGCCCCAAUUCAAAUACAUCUCAUCUUGCCUCAUUAGAAAGCAGAUCCCUUUACUCCAUUCCAUCCCAUCUCCAUUUCAAUGAGCUGUAGAAGGAAAACACGAUUUCCGUGACACCUGUAGUUUCAGAAUGAGACCAUUUGCAGAGGCUGACUGUUUCACCCACAGCGGGUAGUUUUCCAUCUAUCCACGUUAAUAGUGGAAUUGGAAGAGGUAAUUUCUGAGUGUUUCCCUGCUCAGCCUGAAGACUAAAAUGUGCAGUGUUGUGCCCUUUAUUUUUUUGUAUACAUGCUGCCGAAGUGAGCACGGUGCCCUCUAUUUUUUGAAAAUUCAUUCCCCUUUGGAUUACUUGGGUGUUCCAAAAGCUACUUGUACGAAAAUGUUUCUUGUUAAUAUUUAGAAACAAUUUGAUUAUGGCAACUGAGAUACAAUAUGUGGCAUUACCACAGCUGAAUUACAAUUUGAUCUCUCCUGCCCCCAGCAAAUAAGUAGAUACAAAGAUGCCAGGCCUUACUUUGGGGUAGGUCUUUUUAUCAAGUAAACAGCAAAUUUUCUAUAGGUGUCAGAUGCUUCCAAUUAUUGACAUGUCUGGUGGAGGUUUCUUUGUAGAAGAUAAUGACUUAGGAAAUACAGAAAUACUGGUGAAG